Molecule: ribosomal RNA, 406 nt
Filed under: uncultured bacterium
Lineage: Bacteria
Description: partial 16S ribosomal RNA
Rfam family: Bacterial small subunit ribosomal RNA
Source: RNAcentral
AUUGAACGCUGGCGGCAGGCCUAACACAUGCAAGUCGAACGAGUGGCGGACGGGUGAGUAAUGUCUGUGAAACUGCCUGAUGGAGGGGGAUAACUACUGGAAACGGUAGCUAAUACCGCAUACCAUCAGAUGUGCCCAGAUGGGAGUAUCUUGUUGGUGGGGUAACGGGUCACCAAGGCGACGAUCCCUAGUUGGUCUGAGAGGAUGACCAGCCACACUGAAACUGAGAGACGGUCCAGACUCCUAGGGGAGGAAGCGGUGGGGAAUAUUGCAAAAGGGGCGAAAGCGUGAUGCAGCGAUGCAGCGUGUAUGAAGAAGGCCUUAGGGUUGUAAAGUACUUUAAGCGGGGAGGCGUUACCCGCAGAAGAAGCACCGGCUAACUCCGUGCCAGCCGCCGCGGUAAUAC